UACAGAGGGUGCGAGCGUUAAUCGGAAUUACUGGGCGUAAAGCGUGCGUAGACGGUUAUGUAAGUCAGAUGUGAAAGCCCCGGGCUCAACCUGGGAAUUGCAUUUGAGACUGCAUAGCUAGGAUGCGGAAGAGGGAAGUGGAAUUUCCGGUGUAGCGGUGAAAUGCGUAGAUAUCGGAAGGAACAUCAGUGGCGAAAGCGGCUUCCUGGUCCAGCAUCGACGUUCAGGCACGAAAGCGUGGGGAGCAAACAGG
RNAcentral lists this ribosomal RNA (253 nucleotides) under uncultured bacterium. RNAcentral describes it as "partial 16S ribosomal RNA". It matches the Rfam family "Bacterial small subunit ribosomal RNA", at positions 524 to 776 of the family's 1533-position model. The record is from RNAcentral.